This 440-nucleotide ribosomal RNA is filed under the name uncultured bacterium. RNAcentral describes it as "partial 16S ribosomal RNA". It matches the Rfam family "Bacterial small subunit ribosomal RNA", at positions 338 to 795 of the family's 1533-position model. The record is from RNAcentral.
CCUACGGUAGGCUGCAGUGGGGAAUAUUGCACAAUGGGGGAAACCCUGAUGCAGCAACGCCGCGUGAGUGAAGAAGUAUUUCGGUAUGUAAAGCUCUAUCAGCAGGGAAGAAAAUGACAGUCCCUGACUAAGAAGCCCCGGCUAACUACGUGCCAGCAGCCGCGGUCAUACGUAGGGGGCAAGCGUUCUCCGGAUUUACUGGGUGUAACGGGAGCGUAGACGGGGAUGCAAGUCUGAAGUGAAAGGCGGGGGCCCAACCCCCGGACUGCUUUGGAAACUGUAUGGCUGGAGUGCAGGAGAGGUAAGUGGAAUUCCUAGUGUAGCGGUGAAAUGCGUAGAGAUUAGGAGGAACACCAGUGGCGAAGGCGGCUUACUGGACUGUAACUGACGUUGAGGCUCGAAAGCGUGGGGAGCAAACAGGAUUAGAUACCCGGGUAGUC